GAUGAAGAACGCAGCGAAAUGCGAUAAGUAAUGUGAAUUGCAGAAUUCAGUGAAUCAUCGAAUCUUUGAACGCACAUUGCGCCCGCCAGUAUUCUGGCGGGCAUGCCUGUCUGAGCGUCAUUUCAACCCUCAUGCCCCUAGGGCGUGGUGUUGGGGAUCGGCCAAAGCCCGCGAGGGACGGCCGGCCCCUAAAUCUAGUGGCGGACCCGUCGUGGCCUCCUCUGAGAAGUAGUGAUAUUCCGCAUCGGAGAGCGAUGAGCCCCUGCCGUUAAACCCCCAACUUUCCAAGGUUGACCUCAGAUCAGGUAGGAAUACCCGCUGAACUUAAGCAUAUCAAUAAGCGGAGGA
This 348-nucleotide unclassified non-coding RNA is filed under the name soil metagenome. RNAcentral's name for it is "partial contains 5.8S ribosomal RNA, internal transcribed spacer 2, and large subunit ribosomal RNA". The stretch from base 1 to 120 matches the Rfam family "5.8S ribosomal RNA", at positions 35 to 154 of the family's 154-position model. The record is from RNAcentral.